CGAAUGAGGAGAUUCAUCGUCAGCUUAUUCAGUAUUAAUGCAGGCUAUGAUGUGAUAAUAGAAUCCUUGUGGUCACUAGAUUAUACUUGCUUGUAUUAUUUUUGCUGGGUAUGUCGGCGUGCACUUCUCCUCUAGUAGAACGUCGCAACCCGUUGGAUGUUUAUCUAUGGCUUGAAUGGUAGCCUUUGAUAUUUUUUAUAUUGAAGACCUUCGAUGUCCUGAUAAACUGUUUGACGGUAUACAUAUGGUAUUGAGCCGCAAUUAUUUGCGUUAGACUUGCCGCAAGUAUGACUUUAUUCUAGUAGUGCGGAUCUAAUGCCGUCGCUGGACA
This 331-nucleotide ribosomal RNA is filed under the name Ichneumonidae sp. HD-063. Its description in RNAcentral is "partial 28S ribosomal RNA". The record is from RNAcentral. Lineage: Eukaryota; Metazoa; Arthropoda; Insecta; Hymenoptera; Ichneumonidae.